ACGGAAGGCAGCAGUGGGGAAUAUUGGACAAUGGGGGAAACCCUGAUCCAGCGACGCCGCGUGAGUGAAGAAGUAUUUCGGUAUGUAAAGCUCUAUCAGCAAGGAAGAAAAUGACGGUACUUGACUAAGAAGCACCGGCUAACUACGUGCCAGCAGCCGCGGUAAUACGUAGGGGGCAAGCGUUAUCCGGAUUUACUGGGUGUAAAGGGAGCGUAGACGGCAUGGCAAGUCUGAAGUGAAAUGCCAGGGCUUAACCCUGGAACUGCUUUGGAAACUGUCUAGCUAGAGUGCAGGAGAGGUAAGCGGAAUUCCUAGUGUAGCGGUGAAAUGCGUAGAUAUUAGGAGGAACACCAGUGGCGAAGGCGGCUUACUGGACUGUAACUGACGUUGAGGCUCGAAGGCGUGGGGAGCAAACAGGAUUAGAUACCCUGGUA
This 434-nucleotide ribosomal RNA is filed under the name uncultured Lachnospiraceae bacterium. RNAcentral's name for it is "partial 16S ribosomal RNA". It matches the Rfam family "Bacterial small subunit ribosomal RNA", at positions 341 to 792 of the family's 1533-position model. Lineage: Bacteria; Bacillati; Bacillota; Clostridia; Lachnospirales; Lachnospiraceae. The record is from RNAcentral.